Molecule: ribosomal RNA, 264 nt
Filed under: uncultured bacterium
Lineage: Bacteria
Description: partial 16S ribosomal RNA
Rfam family: Bacterial small subunit ribosomal RNA
Source: RNAcentral
UGGCGACCGGCGCACGGGUGCGUAACGCGUAUGCAACCUACCUGUAACAGGGGGAUAACACUGAGAAAUCGGUACUAAUACCGCAUAACACUAUGAGAGGCAUCUCUUGUGGUUGAAAGUUUCGGCGGUUACAGAUGGGCAUGCGUUGUAUUAGCUGGUUGGUAAGGUAACGGCUUACCAAGGCGACGAUACAUAGGGGGACUGAGAGGUUAACCCCCCACAUUGGUACUGAGACACGGUCCAAACUCCUACGGGAGGCAGCAG